GUCCUUUUGAUAAUAAUUUAAGGUCAAAUCUGCCCACUGAUAUAUUAAAUGGCCGCAGUAUACUGACUGUGCUAAGGUAGCAUAAUAAUUAGUUUUUUAAUUGAAAGCUGGUAUGAAUGAUUUAAUGAAAUAUAAGCUGUCUCAUUAUAAGUUUAAAAGAAUUUUAUUUUUAAGUUAAAAAGCUUAAAUUUAAUUAAAAGACGAGAAGACCCUAUAGAGUUUAAUUAAAUAAUUUAAAUAUUAAUUAUUAUUAUUUAAAUAAUUGUUUUAUUUUAUUUAAUUUGGUUGGGGUGACAAAAAAAUUUAAUUAACUUUUUAAUUUAUAAACAUAAAUUUAUGAAUAGUUGAUCCAUUAAUAAUGAUUAGAAGAUUAAAUUACCUUAGGGAUAACAGCGUAAUUAUUUUAGAGAGUUCUUAUCGAUAAAAUAGAUUGCGACCUCGAUGUUGGAUUAAAGUUUAUUUUUGGUGUAGAAGCUAAAAUAUUAAGUCUGUUCGACUUUUAAAACUUUACA
RNAcentral lists this ribosomal RNA (512 nucleotides) under Collops bipunctatus. Its description in RNAcentral is "partial 16S ribosomal RNA". The stretch from base 386 to 512 matches the Rfam family "Bacterial large subunit ribosomal RNA", at positions 2473 to 2600 of the family's 2925-position model. Lineage: Eukaryota; Metazoa; Arthropoda; Insecta; Coleoptera; Melyridae. The record is from RNAcentral.